Pieris brassicae (large cabbage white) is the source of this 660-nucleotide long non-coding RNA. RefSeq lists it as uncharacterized. The record is from RefSeq and is a predicted model, not a curated record. The transcript is spliced from 3 exons. NCBI's taxonomy places the organism in Eukaryota, Metazoa, Arthropoda, Insecta, Lepidoptera, Pieridae.
AACAAUAAUGUUUAUUUUUAUAACAUAUAAGGAUUCGCCGGAAUUAUCCGUACGAAGAGCGUCAGAAAUAGAUGAUUCCACUGAAAAAAUGUUGUUGGUUAAUCCUAUAUGUCCUGUCAGAAUCAUGUUGGAGUAUAUACGAAAGAAAUGCAGGCUUGGUAUAUUCACACAGUUUGAUUUAUGUGACGAAUCUGGAGCAUUAAAAGGACUAUUCAAUAUGCCGACCUAUGCAUAUGUAACUGACCAGUUCGAGCAUAAAAAAACAUAUUACCUCAUUGUAUUGAAAAUGGAAUUUGACAAAAAGAUAUCCGUUCUACCACAAUUAAACCGGGAGGAUGCGCGUUACGAAGACUUAAAGAAUAAGGUGACGAAUUUUAUAUCGGGCGAGAGUCCUAAUAGAUCUCCUCCACCAGCGCCAACUCCUUCAGGGAAGACUACACCAAUGUUAAAAGUCGGAGCUAAGAAGAAAUAACAAAUUCUUUCAUGUUUUUUCACGGUUAUAUAAUUGAAACCUAUUUUAAACGACUUCCGAAUACCCCUAGGUGGUCAUUAUGAGUGAUUGGCCAUUUAAUUCAUUAUGUCGGUUGCUUCCUUAAAACAGACAUUAAACUUCGUAGCUGGACGCCAUUAUUUGUUAUUAUAUACUUAAUUAUAUUUAUA